RNAcentral lists this ribosomal RNA (383 nucleotides) under uncultured eukaryote. RNAcentral describes it as "partial 18S ribosomal RNA". It matches the Rfam family "Eukaryotic small subunit ribosomal RNA", at positions 592 to 976 of the family's 1831-position model. The record is from RNAcentral.
CAAUAGCGUAUAUUAAAGUUGUUGCAGUUAAAAAGCUCGUAGUUGGAUUUCUGGUAGGAGCGACCGUGCCGAACUUGAUUGUUCGAGUAUUGUGUUGUCUUCAGCCAUCCUCGUGGAGAACUUUUCUAACAUUAACUUGUUGGGAUUGGGACCCGCGUCGUUUACUGUGAAAAAAUUAGGGUGUUUAAAGCAGGCAUUAGCUUGAAUACAUUAGCAUGGAAUAAUAAGAUAGGACUUUGGUACUAUUUUGUUGGUUUGCAUACCAAAUUAAUGAUCAACAGGAACAGUUUGAGGAUAUUCGUAUGAACAUGUCAGAGGUGAAAUUCUUGGAUUUUGAUCAGACGAACUACUGCGAAAGCAUUUAUCAAGGAUGUUUUCAUUAA